GUACUACUGAAGAGUCUCAAACUAGGACGAAACAGCUGGCUGUCCAGUAC
Non-coding RNA from Trichobilharzia regenti, 50 nucleotides. The record is from Rfam. NCBI's taxonomy places the organism in Eukaryota, Metazoa, Platyhelminthes, Trematoda, Strigeidida, Schistosomatidae.